Molecule: ribosomal RNA, 256 nt
Filed under: uncultured bacterium
Lineage: Bacteria
Description: partial 16S ribosomal RNA
Rfam family: Bacterial small subunit ribosomal RNA
Source: RNAcentral
UACGGAGGGUGCAAGCGUUAUCCGGAUUCACUGGGUUUAAAGGGUGCGUAGGCGGGUAAGUAAGUCCGUGGUGAAAUCUCUGAGCUUAACUCAGAAACUGCCGUGGAUACUAUUUGCCUUGAAUAUUGUGGAGGUGAGCGGAAUAUGUCAUGUAGCGGUGAAAUGCUUAGAUAUGACAUAGAACACCAAUUGCGAAGGCAGCUCACUACACAAUCAUUGACGCUGAGGCACGAAAAGCGUGGGGAGUCAAACAGGA